CCUACGGGUGGCAGCAGUGAGGAAUAUUGGGCAAUGGGCGCGAGCCUGAACCAGCCAAGUAGCGUGAAGGAUGACUGCCCUACGGGUUGUAAACUUCUUUUAUAAAGAAAUAAAGUGAGGCACGUGUGCCUUUUUGUAUGUAAUUUAUGAAUAAGGAUCGGCUAACUCCGAGCCAGCAGCCGCGGUAAUACGGAGGAUCCGAGCGUUAUCCGGAUUUAUUGGGUUUAAAGGGAGCGUAGAUGGGUUGUUAAGUCAGUUGUGAAAGUUUGCGGCUCAACCGUAAAAUUGCAAUUGAUACUGGCAGCCUUGAGUACAGUUGAGGUAGGCGGAAUUCGAGGUGUAGCGGUGAAAUGCUUAGAUAUCACGAAGAACUCCGAUUGCGAAGGCAGCUUACUAACCUGCCACUGACAUUGAUGCUCGAAAGUGUGGGUAUCAAACAGGAUUAGAUACCCCAGUAGUC
RNAcentral lists this ribosomal RNA (460 nucleotides) under uncultured bacterium. RNAcentral's name for it is "partial 16S ribosomal RNA". It matches the Rfam family "Bacterial small subunit ribosomal RNA", at positions 338 to 795 of the family's 1533-position model. The record is from RNAcentral.